AUAGCAUCGAUGUCAUUCGUGAUCGGGAUAUCGAUCUCUGGAGAUGUGGAAUUUUGUAAAAAGUUUUGAAGAAUAUUUUGAAGAAUUUUGUUUUAUAUAUUGUUUUGUUCUUCAAAUCGAAACCAGUCAAAAGCACAUGCCAGUACACAUAUUGCACAGGGAUCUGUAACCUCUGAGUCUCCAAUACUAUCAACAUCCAAUAACGCUACUGUAUUGCCAAGAUGGCCAUCAUCUAAUCGUGUCAUACAUCCACAUUUAGUUGGACGUCGGAUAUCACACAAGUUUUUGUUGAUGAAGCUUCGGGCAUAGCCAAGUGGUAUGAUGGGACGGUACUUCAACUUGUCCGUGGUGUUGAUGGUCAUAAAGGAGCUGUAUAUAACGUGCAGUAUGAUUCAGAGAAUGAUGCUAUUGAAGUGGAUCAUUUGGUUGAAGAUUUUGAAGAGAAAUCAGUGACAUUUAUAGAUGUGUAGUCAGUUGUGGUUACAGAAAGUAAUACCAUCAUAUAAUACAAUUUCCACGCGUAAGGUCUCGAUCUUCAUAAUACAACAUAAUGUAUGCCCCUGUCGACUCCAUUGUGAUCAACAAUCUAACACAACAUCCACAGCUGAUAUAAUCGAAGGUCCACCCAAUCCACAUAUUGCUAGUGUGGGUACCAUACAAGAAUCCAGUUUGUUUUAUCUCAUAAUCAAGGGAAAUAUUCUUCUGAAUACAGAUUAAGAGUUUACAGCCUCUUUGUGUCGUAUUACGUAUUCAACAUUUAAUACCCGAAAAAUUAUCUUCAGUACUGUUUAAUGAACACAACACCCAAGAAAAGAUCACCAUCAAAAAUUAUAAAUGUGUGGGACAAAAUUCAGAAAAAAUGCUUUUGAUAAAUACUAUUUCAAGCUCAUGUGAUAAACAUUUCAAAGGAGGUUAAAAAUUGUGUCAAAUUUUAAGUGAGACCUUUUUUAAAGAAAAUAUGUGUGAUCAAUAAUGGUGAUAUUGUUGUUGGUGAUAUUACAAUUACUUGUAUGUUUUACAUCUAGUGUUUCUGUUUCGUUAGUAUUAUGAUAUAAAGAAUUCCCUAUUUCAUCAAAGCACAUCUAAUUGCACAAAGAAUUACGAUGCUGAACUACUAAUAUGUAAAUAAAUUAAAUAGAAAGGUGGAAUAUGAGCAAUUUCCCCAGAAUGUUAAAGGCGUGGUUUAUGUGGGCAGAUAAAAAUGGCUACAUGAUAGUUCUACUUUCCUUGUUGAGAGCGAGAAACCAAGCGCACUAAAAACUGUUCUAAGUGCUGUUGGGUGUCCGUCUGCCAAUCAACUGUAUUCUAAAAGAUCUUUAUAGUCCCUCUAUUUAACAGCAUUUACAACAUGUGAUGUUGUACCCUCUUUAAAUUUUGUCAUGUAGCUGUUUUGAUGUUCACUAUAUAAUUUUAAUAUUUGUCUUAGACUGAGGUUUUUAUCCACAGACAUAUUUCUUUUUGUCCCAUUGCAUGUUGGAUAACUUAUGUUUAUUAAACUGUAUUAUAUAUUUCCUGAAUGAUUAUGCAGAAUUUAAGUUUUUAUCUUUCUGUCUCAUGAUUCAUUCCUGAAUUUCCAUUUUCAGGUAUUAAAAAUUUACCAACUUGGUUAAUAUCUUUCAAUACAUUAAACAGAAGGAAAGAUUAGUGAGUCUCCAAUUUGUGUGCAAAAGAUUUUGGGGCAUUGUUCAACUCUCAUCGCUGUGGUCAAGUGUUGAUGAAGAUAUCAUUAAUAGCUAUCUAGGGUUGAGUCAUGUUACUGUUAUGCAUUAUAAUCAAGUUAAGAAAAUAGCAUUAUCUGGUUCAUGGUUGUCUAGCUUAUCACCAGGUGUCCUGGCUACACAUUUGCCGUUGUGUGACAAUUUGACCCAUGUAACUGUGCUUAGCAAUUUUGUGACAGAAGUUAGCCUAUUUUGCAGACUUGAAAUUCCUCAAUAUUUCACAUUGUCCACGCAUAAAUGUAAACUCAUUAUUUAGAGCUCGCGGUAGAUUAAAUUUGCAAUCUUUGGAGAUGUGUCAUUGUUACACACUUAGGGAAACUGAACUAAUUGAAGUUGCUAGACUUGUACCUGACAUUGAUGUUCUGGAUAUAAGUUUUUGCAGCAGACUAAGUCUUACAAAAGUCAUAACUAUCAUCGAAAAUUCAAACAUUAAAUAUCUGAAAGUUACCCCAUCGAAUUUUGAUUCAAACAACCUAUCAUUUGAAAGUGUGCAAGAAAUCUACAGAGACUAGUUUCUUCAAUCCUUAUGACCUACACUUUUGUAGGUAAAUAUAUUGGUGAUAUUCGUAAAGCCUUUCAUCCGUUUAUUUAUAGAGUCACAUGUACAUCAGUAGAACAGUAUAUUCUGAUUAUCUUAGUAUGCUAAUAUGAUGCAUUAUAAUGUGCAUUUCUACGGUGGAAGUAGGGUUAAUUUUCUUUUGGUUUUAAUAAUAUUUACAGUCUUUCAAUUGCAAGUUAUUGUAGUUUUUUGAAGGGGUCUUUCUAUUAUUGAAAUUUCUAAGCUUUUUGUUUUUGCUACAAGUAGUAUAAGGGGGUUCGGUGACAUGUACCUGUUGUAAAAGUGUUUUCAAGUACCGGUAGUACUUAAGUUCCUGUACUUGUUAUUAUUUCAGUUACUGUAUUUGUUAAGUUAAUACACAAGUUACUGUACUUAAUAGUGUGCUUUUAAUAUACAAGUUCCUAUACUUGUUAAUACUUAAGUUACUGUACUUGUUGGCGUACUUUAUAGUAAGUUCCUGUAUACUUGUUAAUACUUAAGUAAUUGUACUUGGGCUAUAAGUUCCUUUCCAUAAGUAUAAAAUGAUCCCGAAUGUCAAUGUUGUCUCCAACAGGUAAAUUUCCAUGUUAACGAUUUCUGACGUUCUCCAUGAGCAGUCGUAAUUUUCCAGCAAUCAGAAAAUCAUGACAUCAUUUAAGUCCUUCAGGUUACCGGAAAAGCAUUAUUAAUCAUUUAAAUAAUGGAAGUAAAUAUUUCGCCAUAUCCUUUCCAUAAGUAUAAAAUGAUCCCGAAUGUCAAUGUUGUCUCCAACAGGUAAAUUUCCAUGUUAACGAUUUCUGACGUUCUCCAUGAGCAGUCGUAAUUUUCCAGCAAUCAGAAAAUCAUGACAUCAUUUUAUACCUAUGGAAAGGAUAUGGCGACAUAAUUACUUCCAUUAUUUAAAUGGUUUAUAAAGUUUUCUGGUAACCUUUAAAAAGUGUCUAAACUAAAAUGUACUCCAAGUACAUUUGAAGAUAUGACUAUGAGGCUCCCUUAAAUUAUUUUGUUAAUAUAUGAUUGAUGUAGAGUAUUCAACAGUUUCUGUGUUUUUGUUGUAUGCUGAUGUAAGGCAAGGAUAGCCUUAGUUUUGUUCAUCCUAACUUUUGUUUGAAACUAUUUGGCCAUAUGUUUUAGUUUAGACAAUGAUGAAGAAAUGUUUUGCAAAUAAUUGAUUUAUAUAUGAGAAGAUUAUUUCUUACAUUUCAUAAUUCGUUACAUUUUUUAUACAUUCUUACUUUUUAUGAGGUAUUGGUAUUUUGAAUUGAAGUAAUGCAACAAAGGUGGAUUUGUAAAAUGGUUUAAUAUUUUUUGUGUGCUCAUAUUUAUGUGUGGGUGUAUCAUGUUGUCCCCCAUGUCUGUAGGUGAACAAUUGACCCUUUGACACAAUUUGGGCUACGGUUUUAACAGAUUUUUUUUCAAAUUUAUGUGAAGCUUUUGGGUAAUGAGAGGAUGAACAAUAUCAAUUGUCAGAGCUAUGCAACUUGUCAUUCCUAUGUUAUCACCCCUUUCCCAAAACAUUGUUAAUGCGAUAAAGGCUGCAGUUUUGCAGCCGAUUUCCAUACCAUUACGCCCCUAUCCGUGGGUAUGUCAGUUCACAUAGGGUCACAAUUUUUAUCCAAUUUCGACAAAACUUGAAAUAUAGCUAUACAUGUAUGUCCAAAAGAUCUUGACAGAUUUGGUUUAUGUGAAUAAUUAGGACUGUUUGAAGAUUAACCCUAUUAAUUUUCAAAUUUGUGUGAAGCAAUCUGUGACUUUCUGUUCCAAAGACAUAUUAUCUGUCUGGAUAGAGAUCAGAUUUUUUUUUGUAGGAUCAUAGAUCCUUUAUGUAAGUGUUCCUUUAAAAUAUGCUGCUGUUGAGACAUAGCUGCUUUAUGGGCGUAUUUCUGUAAAGCAGUAAAGUCCUAAUUUUUUUUAGUCCUCAUUGAUGUCAAAAUGUUUUACCUGUAUACUUUAGAUAAUAUAUAGACAUGAUAAAUCAUUUGCUUAUAUAUAUAUUGAUUUAUAAUCUUUAUAAUAAUGUUUAAAGAUUUUGUAGUC
Long non-coding RNA from Patella vulgata (common limpet), 4293 nucleotides. RefSeq lists it as uncharacterized. Lineage: Eukaryota; Metazoa; Mollusca; Gastropoda; Patellidae. The transcript has 4 exons. The record is from RefSeq and is a predicted model, not a curated record.